Molecule: non-coding RNA, 28 nt
Filed under: Cricetulus griseus (Chinese hamster)
Lineage: Eukaryota; Metazoa; Chordata; Mammalia; Rodentia; Cricetidae
Source: RNAcentral
UUUUUAAAAAACAAACAGAACCUCAUAG